Molecule: long non-coding RNA, 1928 nt
Organism: Cannabis sativa
Lineage: Eukaryota; Viridiplantae; Streptophyta; Magnoliopsida; Rosales; Cannabaceae
Exons: 5
Source: RefSeq, a predicted model, not a curated record
GCUAAAAAUUAGGAGUAGAGAAUAAAACAAAUUGUUUCUCACUCUGUCGACGAUUGAAAACGAUUUGGUUUCUUAAUUCCUACUUUCUAAACGAAAACUAUUUGGGUUUCAUCUCUAUCAUCAUCUUCUUCAAUCUCAAUCUCUUCUCUCACAUCAAUUUGGGAGCCGUUUUUAUCAGCAAUGACAGUUCUGAAGCUCCGUAAUAGAGCGGGAACACACCCAAAUACGCCACGAUAACAAUCAGGGGACUAUUUAUUGAAAAGUGUUUAGGUGGAAAGUGUUUAGGUGGGGCUUAAUAAACAUACUUGUACUUGAGAAAUAAAUCAUAAUUUUAUAGUAUGCAAGGAAUUUCUGUGGUGAGAAUGGCGAAGCCUUUCCAAAGAAGAUACGCCUCAGGUCAAAUUUGCUGGUUAAUAUUAGACCAUCUCCGGGAAUUCAAGUAAUUAAUCUUUCUAACUAUUAAUUAAUUAAUUAAGUAGUAACUUAUAUGUACAUUACAAUAAUUAUGUAACGGUGUAGUAUCUUCUCCCAACGUUUGCUCUGUCCAUCUCCUCGAGCUUAGAUCUGAUAGAUCUAGCUUUUUUCAGAACGGAAACAAUGUCGGAAUUGAUUCGAUGUCGAGGUCUUUCAUGGCGGCCUUUUUGAGAUCGAUGUAGUUGGUGAAUUAGAGAAGCAGUUGGAUCUUUGCUUUCAGUCACGGGAGAGGGCAUCUUGGCAUGGUCUGGAGAUGAUAAUUUUGUUGUGGAGGAUAAAUCAAGGAUGCAACCUGAGGCAAUAUAUUUUAUUUAUUGUAUUCUUUUUUUUUUUUUUUGAAACGAAUUUAUUGUAUUCUAACUCCUCAAGUUGAUAAUAGCUAAUUCUUACAAUGUAUAUUUUAUAUGGCACCCAAUUAUUUUAGCAAUUGUUAUGCAAUGUUGAAAAAUUAUUCCAAUAUAAGAAAACUUCUUAAUCUUUAACCCCAAAAGUGUAAUGAACUUAUAAUAAACGUUUUAAAUAUAUUUUUUUGGGCUUUCAAUUUAAGAAAAAUAAUCUACUAUGCAACUUAUAAAAAGUAAUAUGGUAGGAAUCUUAAUAGAAUUAUAUUUUUAGCAUGGCACACAACUGUGAGGUAACUGUUAUGUAAUGUUAAAAAGACUAUACAUGUAUGCGAAAACUUCUUAAUCUAAACACCAAAUCUGUUAUGAAAUUAUAAUAAACUUUUUUAAAUAUAUUGUAUCUCUCAUACAACUUAAAAAAAUAUUAUUCAACUUUUAAGAAACCAAUAUCUUAGGAACCUUAAUAACAAUGUAUUUUUAACUUGGUACACAACUGCUUAGCAAUUGUAAUGCAACCUUAAAAUACUAUUUUAGUAUUAAUAACAAUCUACCCAAAGUAACUUUUUAUGCUGUAAGAGUUCACAGAGAAAUUUAAAGAAUUAAAAUAAAUGUCAUGUCUCCAUUUAAUUGCUUAGUUGUGGUCUGUCUUUCGGUUGUGACCUUUUUGGCCACGUUUGCUGCACUUAUUAUGUUUUUUAUUUUUUUUUAUUUUUCAUCCACCUAUAAACUUUCGUUUCCUUGGUCUUCCUGAUCUCACUUUCUCUAUUCAGGCAUCAUUUAUCUCGUUGAAUCUGCAACGUCUUGAUGAACAACUUGCGAAAGAUGUUUGCCGUGCAACGGAGAUAUCAGAAGCAAGCAACUCUCGGGAAAGUGACCAAAUUCCUGCAACCAAUGAUCGUUCAGCACUGAAAGAAAUAUCUGAAGAUUUAAUUAAUUUUUUGGCGAAUAUUUCUGAGGUUAAAGCACCUGCCAGUCUUCAUCCGUCUCUGGGAUUUUGUGAUUCAUCAAAACAUAUUGAUGAUGCCAAAUCUUUAAUGAUGCUACAAAAAAUUACAUUUUGAGAAACAGAUUGUGUCUUCUAAAUUUUCUAUAAGUAAAUAACAAGUAUUAUUU